Molecule: long non-coding RNA, 2928 nt
Organism: Chenopodium quinoa (quinoa)
Lineage: Eukaryota; Viridiplantae; Streptophyta; Magnoliopsida; Caryophyllales; Amaranthaceae
Exons: 11
Source: RefSeq, a predicted model, not a curated record
ACCCCUAUGCUUGCCUUAUACUCGUAUUAGGUUUGUUUAGGUUGUAUAAAUUGUAUUUGAUAUAGGGAUAGACAAUUGACGACGCGUUUAUGCCCUUGUCAAUUGUGUAUGGUUUGAAACCAUGAAAUUCAAGGUUAAUCCGUGUACAUGGUUUUGAUGAUCCUGUUUCUCUAAUUUGGUAGAAAAUGAGAAGCAAUAGAGUUGUGCGAUCGAAGAAUAAGUGUUGGAAACAAUUUGUGGUGAUUAAUUCUUACUGAUUAUUUAGAGUAUUGUGGUUGAAAUGUGUGCAGUACUGAAACGAAUGUGUUGGUGACUAGAUCCCAAGAAUGUCAAGGAUCCUCUCAAGAAAGUCAAUGAUCCUUCUUCCAAGACUGUGGCUGCUAGCAAAAGCAAAGUGGGUGAAGCAAAGGCAAAGAAUAGUAAGUAAGUCUUUGAUGAUUCGGAGUAUGAGUAUGAUGAUAAUUCUGAAGACAAUGGUUCCAAUAAUACGCAGAGAGUGUAGGGGAGUCCUCUUCUUUGGAAUCGGGGGUGCACAACUUGCUUAAGACCUUGAUGAGGAAGAGUAAGAAGAGGAGAGGCAAAGAACAUGAGCAUGCAUACAAGAGGCAGAAGGUAAUAAGCAAAGGGAAUAAGGUAAUAAGCAAAGGGCUGGCUUUGAAGACCCACUUUGACAAUGUAGGAAAGUACCCAACAUUGUUUGUAGAGUUGAGUCCUUUUGCCGGUUUGUUUCCUAUUUUGAUGAAAGAAGACGGGAGCUAGUGACAACAAUGGGUUUCGAUGCGCUGCUCAAUUUAGACUUGGAUUAUAUACCAAUUUAAUUGUGCUACUGGUUGAUUACAAGAGUGAGGGCUGAUGGUACAGUGGUAUUUGGGGAAGGAGAGAUUUUACCUCUAUGUGCUAAUCAAGUGAGUUCAGUCCUUGGGAUUCCGAUGCCAAACCAGUUCCCAUGGAUAUGGAUCCGGAUGAUGAGGAGAAGGUGGAGAAGAUGCGUAGGGUUUUUGUUUUGUAUGGGGUUGGUAAGGAUAAAUAAAAUGUGUCAUUGAAAUUUGUUUCGGCGGCAUUGUGUCCGUUGGAUAGUGCAGGUAAGCCGGUGCCCCUGGAAAAUGAAGUUGACAAGGAGCUUUUUAUGUUUACAUUUUUAAUUGUGGUGCUUGGGAAAGUGGUUUGUACGACCACUAAUGGUUCUAAUUUGGCGGCGUCAUUAGUUCCUUGCUUGACAAUUGCUAGUGAGGCAUACAAGUAUGAUUGGUGUACCUUAACGUUCAAUUGGGUAUGCAACACUGCAAAUAGAUUUCAAAGGAAGUUUCAGAAAGAUGGUUUUAGAUCUGUUUGUGGGGGUAGUUUAUUGUUUGUUAUGAUUUUUUAUCUGGAUCACUUACAUCGUGUUCCGGUGAAAUGAAACGUGUACCCAAGGGUGAAGGUGUGGAAGACUGAUGAGGUGUAGAAAGCUUUGAGUGAAGAUAGGUUGAUGAAGAAUGAGUAUGACAGGCUGCGAAUAUUGCAUACGGUGAGGAGCCUCCUCUGGUACCAAGGGAGGAUCAACCUGUAGUAACAGAGGACAGAGGUGGCAAGAAAAAUGGCACUAGUGAUGAAAUGAUGACUGGUAUCCUUGAUCGGUUUCUAGCUCAAUUGACAACAAAGCUAGUCAGUGCUAUUGAGAGUGUUGUGGCUAAUGCUCUAGGUAAUGGAAGCAAUGGGAAGGAAAGCAAUGAGAAGUCGAGGAUCCCUACCAAUGAGGAGGGCAAUGUCCGUUCAAACAAUGGCAAAACACAUACCAGCAAGACUGUGACAGAUUUUGAAAUGAAUAGAAAAACUAAUUCGGUAUCAGGUAACAAGGUCAAGGAUGUUGAAUAUUCUUGUAGUAGUAAGGAUUCCUCCGUUCUUGUGGUUGGUAACUGUCGCACUAGAAGCAAGACCUCUGUUGUUACCCCGAUGGAUAAGCGCUUGAUGACCUUUGUUUGUGGUUGGAAGGAAUUGAGGGAUAAUACACUUCCCGGACCAACGAUAAUUGAAUGCGAUGGCAUCGAUGCAAGUUUGUUAUCAGGUUUUGUCUGGUAGAGCUCGGGUUGGUGAUCAUUACGUGUGGAUGUCAGCUAAACUGUACACAAAAUCAUUGGCACGGAAGGAGUUCCUGGGACGAAGCAAAAGUAUUUUAAUGGACCCGUCAUAUGAGUUGAUGCUUAACUUGGGGAAGAAGAAUCAUGAGCAUUUGGUAAGGAAGUGAGGGAAAUCCUUCCUCACAAUCCCUCUAAGCCAAAUUAGAUGUGUUUUCAUCCUAGUGCUGGAGGUGGCAGCUGAAGAUGGUGAACAUUGAUGGUGCUUAGCCUUUGGGCUAAAGGCUCACGAAAUUCGGAUUAUCGACUCAUUGUAUGAGAAUCCUUUUGAGGAACAUGCUGCCAUUGUACAGAGCUGAACAGGGGAGUUGAUUUGAUGGUCUAGUUAAAUGAUCCACAGUGGGAAUUAGGGCACAUUCAAAAUUGGGCGAAGAGAAUUUUUUCGAUUAAGCAACCUGAUUGGAUAAGGUCAACACCAUUAGGCAGCAGCUGUUCUUGCACGAUGCAAACAACGAAUUCAAUGAGGUGAGGGACAAAUGGUAUGAAAUUCUGCCUGCAGAUCGAAGAGGGUGUAGGCGGCUUAACUCUGAAAUUACGGCGUAGCUUGACUGGUUUCAGUAACGAAAAAGCAUUUCGGCUAUAUGUACCUUUUUGUCUUGGAUUGUUUCUGUAUCUGGGUUUAUAAUUUUGAACUUUGGGCCUCUUAUGUAGGCCAUUUGGGCAUGUAUGUAGUAAUAUUGCUACAGUUAAUUUGGGCCUGUGUGUAGUAAUAUGGCUUUGUUGAUUUAGGUCUCUUAUGUUGGAUGAUGAGAAGCAACUAUUUUUAUUUUUUUCUUGAAAAGUUAUGCAUAAUGGCAUUGUUCAGGUCUACUAA